AGUGAACGCUGGCGGUAGGCCUAACACAUGCAAGUCGAACGGCAGCACAGUAAGAGCUUGCUCUUACGGGUGGCGAGUGGCGGACGGGUGAGGAAUACAUCGGAAUCUACUUUUUCGUGGGGGAUAACGUAGGGAAACUUACGCUAAUACCGCAUACGACCUACGGGUGAAAGCAGGGGAUCUUCGGACCUUGCACGAUUGAAUGAGCCGAUGUCGGAUUAGCUAGUUGGCGGGGUAAAGGCCCACCAAGGCGACGAUCCGUAGCUGGUCUGAGAGGAUGAUCAGCCACACUGGAACUGAGACACGGUCCAGACUCCUACGGGAGGCAGCAGUGGGGAAUAUUGGACAAUGGGCGCAAGCCUGAUCCAGCCAUACCGCGUGAGUGAAGAAGGCCUUCGGGUUGUAAAGCCCUUUUGUUGGGAAAGAAAAGCAGCAGGUUAAUCCCCCGCUGUUCUGACGGUACCCAAAGAAUAAGCACCGGCUAACUUCGUG
This 492-nucleotide ribosomal RNA is filed under the name uncultured bacterium. RNAcentral's name for it is "partial 16S ribosomal RNA". It matches the Rfam family "Bacterial small subunit ribosomal RNA", at positions 29 to 507 of the family's 1533-position model. The record is from RNAcentral.